Oreochromis niloticus (Nile tilapia) is the source of this 4385-nucleotide long non-coding RNA. RefSeq lists it as uncharacterized. NCBI's taxonomy places the organism in Eukaryota, Metazoa, Chordata, Actinopteri, Cichliformes, Cichlidae. The transcript has 6 exons. The record is from RefSeq and is a predicted model, not a curated record.
AUCAUUUUAAUAUCAUGUUAUUCGUUCAUAUCCUUUUAUUUGUUUAUAUCCUUUGUAUUAAGCUUUGAGUAAUGGCAUUUGAUUAAAACAUUUAUUCAAUAUAUUACACAUAUAGUUUCAUUUAUGUUGUUAUACAUAUUAUAUAUAUUAUACAUAUUACAAAAUGUGCUUACAGAAGAGUUAGCCUUCUGUCUGGUAAGAGGUUAUAAGCUUUAGUUGGCGAGGUGAGAGGUGAGACAGAGUGCACUGAGGUCGAGACACACAGUUUGCCUGCACACACACACACACACACACACACACACACACACACACACAGUAUAUAGACUCAUUUCUAGGUAAGAGUUCAGACAUAUUUUGCUUGUAACUGCAUUUGUGCCUGCAUAAGUGACAAUUUGUUGUAGGAUGUGUUUCUGAUGUUCCAGAGAUAAGCGAGAAGAAGCGAGAAGACAGGAAGCACCUGGCGUCGAGACGGAGAAAAUGUUCUUUUUGAAUGUGUCAAAGGUUGUGGUUGUUGUAACUUAUGCAUGUCAUGUAUCUGCUUUGACGCAUGAAGGGGCGUAAUAAUACCCUGACGUAUAAAACAUUCUGAGUAUGCUUUCUUGUGGGGAUUUUAUGCUGAGGGUUGUGACGGUGUAUUUCCUCCACACGUGUGUUUAAUAAAAUCAUUGUUUUGACGCACUUGGACCUGUGGUCGUUUGUCUCUCACCUCAAUCACGAACCGGUGACAGUUUUGGUGCCGUUGACCCGGAUUGAGGAGGGACGUUUUUUGGCUGAGGUCCAGUGGUGUGGUCAAACGGAUGGACAGGAGCCAGCAGGUCGACUGAGUGACGGGCCCUUUAUAAGACAGGUAAGGCACCGCCUAUUGAUUAAAGUGAAUAUCUAAAAGGUGCUGAAUUGGAAAUAAAGUUAAGUUGAAUGUCCACUCAGUAGAGUUUCUGGUGAAAUGUCCGUGGUGAUUUUGGGUCAUUAGUGAUAAAAGUAAAAGUUUGGGGAAUAUUUGACUGACAAAAUUUAGUGUUGUUAAUUCUGGGUUGAAUUUUAAGUUAAUAGGUUGUGUGUUUAAGUUUAUAUGUUAUGUGUUUAAGUUGAUGUGUUAUACUUGUUGAUUGUGACAUCAGCCAAGAAAAAGUUUAGAUUAGGGUAUUUGGUUAAGGGAUUUUAUUCCCAGAUUGAUUAGCAGAAUUAGAUUCGGGCAUCAGAUAAUAAACUGCAUGGCACUUGGAGUCCACAGUGAUGCUUUUAAAUGUGUUUAAAUAAAUUCUAGGACGGAAGUUGGACUUCCAGGGGUGCAAAAUGUUCUGAGCGUUAUGACUCCAUCUUGCGGCAGACGCGCUGCAAUUUCCUCCAGGCAAGAGGCUUAAUUCGGGUGAUACCCGUGACAGGUAGGGACAGUCGUUAAUAAUCAGUGGUCAAGGAUCACUUUUCUUGCACCGUUUGACCGACAGGGGCAGGGCCCCCGGGCGUGACCAUUUCAAACGUGGCUCACAUGUAAGCUUUACGUAAAGCUUCAGGCGCCAGCAGGACGCUGGGCGUUCAUGAGGUGGAGCUUCCUGUCGAGCUGCGGGGAGCGCUUAUAAAUUAACAUAGGGCCUAGAAAUUUGAUUGCUAUCGGUGAGGGCGUUCCCGAAGCGCGUUGAUUGACCAGCAAGGUUGGACCUGGGCUUAGAGACUUUUAAAUUAAUGAAGGGAAAAGUUAGGUGUACCGGUACUGAGGUUUUGAAAAGGUGAUAUGGAAAUGGUUAAUAAUAUCGGUUUUGAAGCGGUGAUAUGGAAAUGUUGAAGAAUUUAUCUUGGCAUCUGGUGUCCUUUGUUAUGUUUGUACAUGUCUGAAUAUAUAAUGAAGUGUUGAAUUGCAUGGUUAUAAGUGGGUGUGGUGUGAAAGUGAUUUGAUACAGAAGCUGAGUGAAUGAGGAUAAAAUAAAAUACUGUGUGAAAAGUAUUGUGAAAUUUGCUGAUGAAAAGCUGAAAGAUGUGAUGAUGUGUUCCUGAACUGUGUUAAAUUGUGGUGAAUUUUUCUAGUGUUUUUAAGUUUGAAGUUUGUGUACUGGUGAAGCGCUGAAGUGGGUGCUUUUGAUGAAUCUUGUUAUUGUUUAUUGAAGAAAAGAGCAUAAUAGAGUUUUUGUUGAUUUUGCUGGAGCUUGUGUGUAAUAUUUUGAGUAUAAUGAAUAAACGUUGUAGUAUUGUGUUUGUGAUUUUAUAUUGUGAGUACGGGUGUUGUAAUUUUUCAUGAAGAGUUUUAUUAAGAGAACUCCUUUAAAAACUCCUGUAAAAAUAGAGUUGUUGAUUGUUUGCUAAGUAUAUAAUUCAAAAGGAAUAAUUGUAUGAUUUGUGGUUGAUAUUUUCAUUUGGCCUAAAGAAGGCAGAAGUGUGUGUGUGGUUUAUUUUUGACAUUUUUCAGAGCAGAGAAAACGGGGGCGUGUGGUUUGAUUUAUUUCUUCUCCGUACACUGUAAACCCAAAUGUUCAAAGUAAUUAAAUAGAUUAAGUAGUGUAUACUCAAAGUCUUUAAAAAGUUCUGUUAACUUAAAUAUGUCAAGUUCGUGUAACAUGUUCUUCUUUUUGAGUAAAUGAAACUAAUAAUUUUUGAUUGAAUUGAACUAUUUCUAUAUUAAGUAAGCAUCACUUAAAAUUAUAACUUAAGCACAGCGUAACACAGGACAUAUAAGAAUGGUAAAGUCCUGUUAUUUUUGUUGUUUCAAGUAGGUAGGAUUUAAUAAUAAACUUAAUUUAUGUAGCACAUGCUAAAAUACAAUAAAAUCUCAAAGUGUUUCACCAAAUAAGUAAAAUCAAAUUGUCUUAAAUGCAUUAGUGGAAGAAAAAAUGUAUUUAUUUUAAUAUUCAUUGUCUUAUCAAUGUAUCCUAUAUAUUUUUUUUUAUUUUUUUCCGUAAGUGUUAAGCAGCUGCAGGAAUCAAUUUUUAUUCCGAGUUAAUCUCUGAUUCACCCUCCGAAGGGGAAGGUGGCGCUAAUGAGCAUUAUACACUGAUCGUUUACCGCUAUUUGGAAAAAAAUACGAAACAGAAGAAGUAAAGGUAUAUGGGCGGGAAACAGCACCAAAGAGGCAACACGGACGACUGGAGAAAGUUGGACCUAACGGCAGCAACUAGCAUCACUGGACUUACACUUCAAGAAUUAAUACGGAGUCAAGGAAGAGAACUGGGGAUGUGAUAAAGAUACCAGACCCAAGCGAGCAGAAGUCAACUUCCUACCAAACUUUCCCCAAGGAAAGGAUCCUUCAAGCCUUGACCAGUUGAGGCAAGCAAUUGUUGAAGAAGUCAAGAAGGCUGAGAAGAACCUGCCCCUCAUUAGAAAGUUGAUGGAGACCACAUUUCCCCUGCGCAGACAAACCAUAGUGAUGUCCUGCCCACCAGUGAAGGAGCUCUUGGACCUCUGGCCUGCUCUAAAAAUGGAGUCUGAGUUGUAUGCAGAGUUUCAGCGGAUUACAAAUCAGAACCUGCCCAAUGCAUUCUACGCUGAACUUGACCGCCAUCUUCCUCGACUGAUGACCUUAUUCAGACAGAAGGCAUCAAAACUGGGAAGACAGCAGAUGCCCUGGCUGAAAUUCUAAGAAUUCACGAUGAACAGAACAUCCAUGAUAUCCACACCAAGCGCACUACCGUUCUCCACGCCCUUCCUGUCUAUCUGCGUGAGGAUGUCUCUGGAUUUUUCAGAACCUGCACUGACGAAUCUGAUGAGUUGGAGCUUGAUGGUGUUGAAGUGGCCCUCUUCACUGUCAUCAGUGACCAUGACACGACAAGUCCAGUUCACUACCAACCUGUGAAAACCUCUGUCGUCAUUGAAAGUGAUGCCGUGGUCAGUCUCCCCAGAUUUGGUGAAGCCUUCCUGGUAAUGUUUGGACUGAUCUAUGCACUUCACCUCAGCUACCCCAAAACCCUGACCAACACUUUAGAAUUUACUCAAAAGAUUUUACUUGGUCUAGAAAGUGGUAAACUGUCACCCAGGUUACAGACCCUCAAGAAUGACUUGGUUAUGUAGGAACUCAUCUGAAAGAAGGAUGCAGGGUAAAGCAUUAUAAAAGGCUAGUUCAAAGUUCUCUCCUUUUAUCUAAAUGCCUCAAAAUGUUAUUGCAUUACUCGACAGGUGUUCAGCCAAUAGGUCCAAACUAUACAACGUGCCUUUGUCCUCAUUAACAUAAUGCAAAGCAACACUAAUGUUUUGUAUGUUUUAAUGUUUUUUGUAAUACUAUUUCUAAAACAUUGUGGGCUGCGCAAGAUGACCUAAAUUUCACUGUUUGAUACUGGUUAAUGUAAAACAAAUAGCAUUGUAAUUCACUCAAAUUGCUGCCCUGUUGCCUUAUUCAGAUAUUAGCCAGAGAGCCAAAGGCACAUUUUGAUAUUAUUUAUUAUUAUUUGGCAUUAUUUUUUAUU